This is a non-coding RNA of Schizosaccharomyces pombe (fission yeast), 212 nucleotides long. NCBI's taxonomy places the organism in Eukaryota, Fungi, Ascomycota, Schizosaccharomycetes, Schizosaccharomycetales, Schizosaccharomycetaceae. The record is from the annotation of a GenBank genome assembly.
AACGAGAUUAUAUUUUUUGCAAAGAUGCUCUUAACAACAAUGGGCCAAAGCAGCUUUAACGCAAUCUUCUGGCCUCACGCUCUGAUUCAAGAAGAACCAAGAUGUCAUCUUCACGAACAGGUCCCUUAACGUUACGAAUGAUAGAACGAGAAGUGUCAUCCAUAAAUUCGACACGGACUUGGGUGACUCCACCACUACAGAGAAGUUAGUAA